CCUACGUGAGGCAGCAGUGAGGAAUAUUGGUCAAUGGGCGAGAGCCUGAACCAGCCAAGUCGCGUGAAGGAUGAAGGAUCUAUGGUUUGUACACUUCUUUUAUAUGGGAAUAAAGUGAGGAACGUGUUCCUUUUUGUAUGUACCAUAUGAAUAAGCAUCGGCUAACUCCGUGCCAGCAGCCGCGGUAAUACGGAGGAUGCGAGCGUUAUCCGGAUUUAUUGGGUUUAAAGGGUGCGUAGGUUGUUUUUUAAGUCAGCGGUGAAAGUUUGUGGCUCAACCAUAAAAUUGCCGUUGAAACUGGAAGACUUGAGUGUGUUUGAGGUAGGCGGAAUGCGUGGUGUAGCGGUGAAAUGCAUAGAUAUCACGCAGAACUCCGAUUGCGAAGGCAGCUUACUAAGCCAUAACUGACACUGAAGCACGAAAGCGUGGGGAUCAAACAGGAUUAGAUACCCCAGUAGUC
Molecule: ribosomal RNA, 460 nt
Filed under: uncultured bacterium
Lineage: Bacteria
Description: partial 16S ribosomal RNA
Rfam family: Bacterial small subunit ribosomal RNA
Source: RNAcentral